UACGAAGGGUGCAAGCGUUACUCGGAAUUACUGGGCGUAAAGCGUGCGUAGGUGGUUUGUUAAGUCUGAUGUGAAAGCCCUGGGCUCAACCUGGGAAUGGCAUUGGAUACUGGCGAACUUGAGUGCGUGAGGGGUAGGGGGAACGAGCAGUGUAGCGGUGAAAUGCGUAGAUAUUGCUCGGAAGGCCAGAGCCGAAGGGGCCCUACUGGUGCGCAACUGACACUGAGGCACGAAAGCGUGGGGAGCAAACAGG
RNAcentral lists this ribosomal RNA (253 nucleotides) under uncultured bacterium. Its description in RNAcentral is "partial 16S ribosomal RNA". It matches the Rfam family "Bacterial small subunit ribosomal RNA", at positions 524 to 776 of the family's 1533-position model. The record is from RNAcentral.